This 724-nucleotide ribosomal RNA is filed under the name uncultured bacterium. Its description in RNAcentral is "bacterial SSU rRNA". It matches the Rfam family "Bacterial small subunit ribosomal RNA", at positions 1 to 716 of the family's 1533-position model. The record is from RNAcentral.
CCCUUAGAGUUUGAUCCUGGCUCAGAGUGAACGCUGGCGGCAGGCCUAACACAUGCAAGUCGAACGGCAGCACAGAGGAGCUUGCUCCUUGGGUGGCGAGUGGCGGACGGGUGAGGAAUACAUCGGAAUCUGCCUAUUUGUGGGGGAUAACGUAGGGAAACUUACGCUAAUACCGCAUACGACCUACGGGUGAAAGCGGAGGACCUUCGGGCUUCGCGCAGAUAGAUGAGCCGAUGUCGGAUUAGCUAGUUGGCGGGGUAAAGGCCCACCAAGGCGACGAUCCGUAGCUGGUCUGAGAGGAUGAUCAGCCACACUGGAACUGAGACACGGUCCAGACUCCUACGGGAGGCAGCAGUGGGGAAUAUUGGACAAUGGGCGCAAGCCUGAUCCAGCCAUGCCGCGUGGGUGAAGAAGGCCUUCGGGUUGUAAAGCCCUUUUGUUGGGAAAGAAAAGCAGUCGGUUAAUACCCGAUUGUUCUGACGGUACCCAAAGAAUAAGCACCGGCUAACUUCGUGCCAGCAGCCGCGGUAAUACGAAGGGUGCAAGCGUUACUCGGAAUUACUGGGCGUAAAGCGUGCGUAGGUGGUUUGUUAAGUCUGAUGUGAAAGCCCUGGGCUCAACCUGGGAAUUGCAUUGGAUACUGGCAGGCUAGAGUGCGGUAGAGGGUAGUGGAAUUCCCGGUGUAGCAGUGAAAUGCGUAGAGAUCGGGAGGAACAUCCGUGGC